GCGGCGAACGGGUGAGUAACACGUGGGUAACCUGCCCCGUACUUUGGGAUAAGCCUGGGAAACUGGGUCUAAUACCGGAUAUGACUGCAUCCUGCAUGGGGUGUGGUGGAAAGUUCUGGCGGUACGGGAUGGGCCCGCGGCCUAUCAGCUUGUUGGUGGGGUGAUGGCCUACCAAGGCGACGACGGGUAGCCGGCCUGAGAGGGCGACCGGCCACACUGGGACUGAGACACGGCCCAGACUCCUACGGGAGGCAGCAGUGGGGAAUCUUGCGCAAUGGGCGGAAGCCUGACGCAGCGACGCCGCGUGAGGGAUGACGGCCUUCGGGUUGUAAACCUCUUUCGACCGGGACGAAGCGAGAGUGACGGUACCGGUAGAAGAAGCACCGGCUAACUACGUGC
RNAcentral lists this ribosomal RNA (399 nucleotides) under uncultured bacterium. RNAcentral describes it as "bacterial SSU rRNA". It matches the Rfam family "Bacterial small subunit ribosomal RNA", at positions 95 to 508 of the family's 1533-position model. The record is from RNAcentral.